Molecule: ribosomal RNA, 770 nt
Filed under: Papiliotrema flavescens
Lineage: Eukaryota; Fungi; Basidiomycota; Tremellomycetes; Tremellales; Rhynchogastremaceae
Description: eukaryotic LSU rRNA
Rfam family: Eukaryotic large subunit ribosomal RNA (bases 153-770)
Source: RNAcentral
GAACAUGUUAGGCUUGGACUUGGGUGUCUGCCAGCAAUGGCUCACCUCAAAUGACUUAGUGGAACAUCCCACAUCAGUGUUAGACGUAAUAAGUUUCGUCUCUCCUUGUGGUGAUGACUGCUCAAAACCUGCCAUCGCGCACCUUUUGACUUUGACCUGAAAUCAGGUAGGGCUACCCGCUGAACUUAAGCAUAUCAAUAAGCGGAGGAAAAGAAACUAACAAGGAUUCCCCUAGUAACGGCGAGUGAACCGGGAAGAGCUCAAAUUUGAAAUCUGGCGUGCUCAGUGCGUCCGAGUUGUAAUCUAUAGAGUCGUUUUCCGUGCCGGACUGUGUCCAAGUCCCUUGGAACAGGGUAUCAAAGAGGGUGAUAAUCCCGUACUUGACACAAUGACCGGUGCUCUGUGAUACGUCUUCUACGAGUCGAGUUGUUUGGGAAUGCAGCUCAAAAUGGGUGGUGAGUUCCAUCUAAAGCUAAAUAUUGGCGAGAGACCGAUAGCGAACAAGUACCGUGAGGGAAAGAUGAAAAGCACUUUGGAAAGAGAGUUAAACAGUACGUGAAAUUGUUAAAAGGGAAACGAUUGAAGUCAGUCGUGACUGAGAGGCUCAGCCGGUUCUGCCGGUGUAUUCCCCUCAGUCGGGUCAACAUCAGUUUUGUUCGGUGGAUAAGGGCAGUUGGAAGGUGGCACCCUCGGGUGUGUUAUAGCCAGCUGUCGCAUACAUCGGAUGAGACUGAGGAAUGCAGCUCGCCUUUAUGGCCGGGGUCGCCCAC